UGUAAUGAGAGCAGAAGGGGGCUAUGAUCCGAUCCCACCGCUGGUAACGCCAUAACUUCAGCAUUUGGAAAGGUAACUUGCCAUUCCAUUGUACAUACAGCUCUAUCUAAGCGCUUUUUCACCUGUUCUUCUCCUUCUCUAUUGUUGGUCCACGUGUACAUGCAUCAUUUACUAUCCAUGUACAUUAAAGAGCAAUCAUUUAGCAUGUCCCGAAAGGCUACAAUGAGGUGAUAGUCUGCUUCCCUUUUGCCUUCUUUCUCCCAAUUAUAUAGUAUGUCAUUAAAGUCCCCUAUACAUAUCCAUGGAAGUGAAUUAGAUGCAUGAAAGCAGCGAAGUUGUUGCCAUAAUUGUAAUCUCUCCUGGAAAUUUGUUGGUGCAUGUAGGAACAUUAUCCCUAUAAACUGUCCACUUGUAGGAUCCUCACAUUCCGUAUCAAUAAAAUGAUGCGAGCUGCAUUUUACUUUCACUUUAAACUCCUCUCUCCACAUUAGUGUUAAUCCACCCACAAUUCUUAUUGGCUAUACCAAGAACGACUUGUGGUAAUUAAGUCUCAUUCUCGCCCUUUCCACUAUUGUUUCCUUGUUUUUUGUUUCCAUCAAGAACACCACACUAAGUCUUUCAAGAGCCACUAAGGCUCUAAGCUCCUGGAACGCCAGGGGGUUGCCUAGCCCCUGAUAGUUCCAGCUCAAAAUCUUCAUAAUGUCACCGGUGGCUUAUUAGGGCUAGUCACCAAAGCCCAUUAUUUCCCUUCUUUCACCAGCUGAACAGGUGUCUCUAGUAACUCCAUCUCAUCGAUUAAUAACAUACUCGACUCUUCAACCUUCUUCUAUUUUUUUACUCUUAGAAGUUUUGAUCCCUUCUUGUUACUUCCUUCUGUUUCAAGUAGCCCUGCAUCAAUAGAAUCUAGCAAGUACAGUGGUUGUUUCCCUUUCCCUGUUUUAACUGUUGAUUCCCCUCUAUCUUCUUCUCUGUGCUCAGUUGAUGAUGGGUUUUCUGCCCUUUUUUUACUUUGAGCAAGGCCAGCAACUGUCUCAGGUUCUCUGCUACCAACAAUCUGAAGAGUAGUUGACUGGAUGGGGGUUUCAAGUACAUACUCCUCUUCCUCUUGAGUAGAGAUAAUUUUGCCAUAGAAAGCUUCGCAAUAAGGACUCAUUUCUCGUACCUCCGCUUUGAGCCAAGGCCCAUAUUUCCCUACCCUAUUUUCUACCCAUUAUGUUUUCUCAUAGGGAAUUUCUUCACAAAACGAGGCGUAGUGCCCUAGUCUUCCACAGGAAUAGCAAUAAUGAGGGAGGCGUUCAUAUUUAAACUCCACCCUUAUAUGUUUUUCUCCGAUCUUCACUAGAGCCCCUGUUUUUAAGGGUACCGAUAGUGGAAGUUCAACUUUUGCUUUCCCUGUUUUGUUUAGCAUAUUUCCUCUAGCUUCUAACUGAAUUUCCUUCACUUUUCCGACUUUUCCAGCAACAUCAGCGUAUACUUCUUCUAAAAUCCAUCCAGGAGGCAGUCCGAUAAUAUGGACCCAAAAAUCAUAGUGCAAGAAAUCAUAAUAGUGUUCCGGUAUAUCAAGUGAGCAUUGCUUGAGGACCAGCAAGUUGCUUGCAAAAGACCAUGGGCCAAAUUUUAUUAUCCGUUCUUUGUCCGCUUCAGUUUCGAAUACAAAAGAGAAGAAUCCAGGUUCCUUUUGGAAAAUUUCCAUUGAUUCUACUUUCCACGCAUUUUUCAUCGUGUUGCAAAAAGCAUGAAAGUUGACAUUCAAUUUCGAUAGUAAUUUACCAAAGAGAGUAUGUUUGCAUUCAAUAAUUUUAUUCGUUGGGGUUUCCUCCCUAACAGCAACCAUGUCAUCAUCAGACCAUAAAUGCCCUAAACUCUUGCAUAGAGCAGCAAUACGAAGUCGGUUUUCCUCCUUACUGUCCAUUCUACUUUGAUAUUGCAGAAUCAGAACUUGGUGGGGACAUACCUGCUUUGUCUGUUUUCCUAGGUUUUGGUCGAAGGGAGCUCCAGCAACAAGAUGGAGGGGAUCUCAGUCGCUUUGAAGGAUGGAGCAUUACGGUUCUCCAUUUAUCAGUCUAUGACUGGGAUUUCUGAAGAAACGAAGAUGGAGUAGGAGCAUCAAGCAGCCCUCCAGCAAUCGCGGGCUCUUUGGGGGAAUUUUCGUGCUUUAGGGUUUGUAUAUGGUUUUUCGGGUGUUGUAUUUCUAAUGGGUAUUCUAUCUUUAAGGGAGUGGGCGGGAUGGGUUCUUCAUUUUGGGAGAGAUGGAGACUGGAAUCGUGGGUUUUUAGGGUUUGGUUUGGCUAUCACCUUGGGGGAUAGGGAAGAAACUCCAUUGAAGGAGAGAAACCUCUACCGAACGAGAGAAUGCUGAACCGACUUUGCUAUGGCAACUUUGACAUGGUG
RNAcentral lists this long non-coding RNA (2391 nucleotides) under Eucalyptus grandis. Its description in RNAcentral is "long non-coding RNA (EGRA_LNC006319)". The record is from RNAcentral. Lineage: Eukaryota; Viridiplantae; Streptophyta; Magnoliopsida; Myrtales; Myrtaceae.